This 253-nucleotide ribosomal RNA is filed under the name uncultured bacterium. Its description in RNAcentral is "partial 16S ribosomal RNA". It matches the Rfam family "Bacterial small subunit ribosomal RNA", at positions 524 to 776 of the family's 1533-position model. The record is from RNAcentral.
UACGGAGGGGGCUAGCGUUGUUCGGAAUUACUGGGCGUAAAGCGCACGUAGGCGGCUACUCAAGUCAGAGGUGAAAGCCCAGGGCUCAACCCUGGAACUGCCUUUGAAACUAGGUAGCUAGAAUCUUGGAGAGGUCAGUGGAAUUCCGAGUGUAGAGGUGAAAUUCGUAGAUAUUCGGAAGAACACCAGUGGCGAAGGCGACUGACUGGACAAGUAUUGACGCUGAGGUGCGAAAGCGUGGGGAGCAAACAGG